CCAGGUUGAUUCUGCCUGACGUAGACGCUAUUCCCUAAGAUUAACCCAUGCAUGUUAUUGAUUUUUGAAAAAUGGACUGCUCAGUAAUACUCACUUUAUUUUAUGUAUACUUAUUAUAACUACGUUAAAGUGUAGAUAAAAUGUAUACAGUAAGAGUGAGACCUAUCAGCUAGUUGUUAAGGUAAUGGCUUAACAAGGCAGUGACGGGUAACGGUAUUACUUUGUAAUAUUCCGGAGAAGGAGCCUGAGAGACGGCUACUAAGUCUAAGGAUUGCAGCAGGGGCGAAACUUGACCUAUGGAUUUUAUCUGAGGCAGUUAUGGGAAGUAAUAUUAUAUUGUUUCAUAUUUUAAAAGUAUAUGAGGUGAUUAAUUGGAGGGCAAAUCAAGUGCCAGCAGCCGCGGUAAUACUUGUUCCAAGAGUGUGUAUGAUGAUUGAUGCAGUUAAAAAGUCCGUAGUUUAUUUUUAAGAAGCAAUAUGAGGUGUACUGUAUAGUUGGGAGAGAGAUGAAAUGUGACGACCCUGACUGGACGAACA
This 536-nucleotide ribosomal RNA is filed under the name Nosema sp. C PSH-2011. RNAcentral describes it as "SSU rRNA". It matches the Rfam family "Microsporidia small subunit ribosomal RNA", at positions 1 to 594 of the family's 1311-position model. Lineage: Eukaryota; Fungi; Microsporidia; Nosematidae. The record is from RNAcentral.